RNAcentral lists this ribosomal RNA (380 nucleotides) under uncultured archaeon. RNAcentral describes it as "bacterial SSU rRNA". It matches the Rfam family "Archaeal small subunit ribosomal RNA", at positions 348 to 729 of the family's 1478-position model. The record is from RNAcentral.
CUUUACCAUGCGGGCAACCGUGAUAAGGAACCCCGAGUGCCAGCACAGGCUGGCUGUCCACCAGUGUAAAUAACUGGUGAAGAAAGGGCCGGGCAAGACCGGUGCCAGCCGCCGCGGUAAUACCGGCGGCUCGAGUGGUGGCCGCUAUUACUGGGCUUAAAGCGUCCGUAGCUGGGUUGUUAAGUCUCUGGGGGAAAUCUUCCGGGCUUAACCGGAAGGCGUCUCAGGGGAUACUGGCAAUCUAGGGAUCGGAAGAGGUGAGGGGUACUCCAGGGGUAGGAGUGAAACCCUGUAAUCCUUGGGGGACCACCUGUGGCGAAGGCGCCUCACCAGGACGACUCCGACAGUGAGGGACGAAAGCUGGGGGGANCAAACCGGGA